UGGGGAAUAUUGCACAAUGGGGGAAACCCUGAUGCAGCGACGCCGCGUGGGCGAAGAAGUAUUUCGGUAUGUAAAGCCCUAUCGGCAGGGAAGAGACAGACGGUACCUGAGUAAGAAGCCCCGGCUAACUACGUGCCAGCAGCCGCGGUAAUACGUAGGGGGCGAGCGUUAUCCGGAUUUACUGGGCGUAAAGGGAGCGUAGACGGCGGCGCAAGCCUGAAGCGAAAGGAUGGGGCCCAACCCCAUGAGCGCUUUGGGAACUGCGCGGCUGGAGUGCCGGAGGGGCAAGCGGAAUUCCUAGUGUAGCGGUGAAAUGCGUAGAUAUUAGGAGGAACACCGGUGGCGAAGGCGGCUUGCUGGACGGCGACUGACGUUGAGGCUCGAAAGCGUGGGGAGCGAACAGG
Molecule: ribosomal RNA, 404 nt
Filed under: uncultured bacterium
Lineage: Bacteria
Description: bacterial SSU rRNA
Rfam family: Bacterial small subunit ribosomal RNA
Source: RNAcentral